GAACUGAAGAGUUUGAUCCUGGCUCAGAUUGAACGCUGGCGGAAUGCUUUACACAUGCAAGUCGAACGGCAGCACGGGAGCUUGCUCCUGGUGGCGAGUGGCGAACGGGUGAGUAAUGCGUCGGAACGUACCGAGUAAUGGGGGAUAACGCAGCGAAAGCUGUGCUAAUACCGCAUACGCCCUGAGGGGGAAAGUGGGGGAUCGCAAGACCUCACGUUAUUCGAGCGG
This 228-nucleotide ribosomal RNA is filed under the name Thiobacillus sp. RNAcentral describes it as "partial 16S ribosomal RNA". It matches the Rfam family "Bacterial small subunit ribosomal RNA", at positions 1 to 229 of the family's 1533-position model. The record is from RNAcentral. Lineage: Bacteria; Pseudomonadati; Pseudomonadota; Betaproteobacteria; Nitrosomonadales; Thiobacillaceae.